Oncorhynchus keta (chum salmon) is the source of this 743-nucleotide long non-coding RNA. RefSeq lists it as uncharacterized. The record is from RefSeq and is a predicted model, not a curated record. The transcript has 5 exons. NCBI's taxonomy places the organism in Eukaryota, Metazoa, Chordata, Actinopteri, Salmoniformes, Salmonidae.
CUCCUCCAGACUAGGUUAGUCUCUGGGUAGAUACUCCUCCAGACUAGGUUAGUCUCUGGGUAGAUACUCCUCCAGACUAGGUUAGUCUCUGGGUAGAUACUCCUCCAGACUAGGUUAGUCUCUGGGUAGAUACUCCUCCAGACUAGGUUAGUCUCUAGGGUAGAUACUCCUCCAGACUAGGUUAGUCUCUAGGGUAGAUACUCCUCCAGACUAGGUUGGUCUCUAGGGUAGAUACUCCUCCAGACUAGGUUAGUCUCUAGGGUAGAUACUCCUCCAGACUAGGUUAGUCUCUGGGUAGAUACUCCUCCAGACUAGGUUGGUCUCUGGGUAGAUACUCCUCCAGACUAGGUUAGUCUCUAGGGUAGAUCCUCCUCCAGACUAGGUUGGUCUCUAGGUAGAUACUCCUCCAGACUAUGUUAGUCUCUAGGUAGAUACUCCUCCAGACUAGGUUAGUCUCUAGGUAGAUACUCCUCCAGACUAGGUUAGUCUCUAGGGUAGAUACUCCUCCAGACUAGGUUGGUCUCUAGGGUAGAUCCUCCUCCAGACUAGGUUAGUCUCUGGGUAGAUCCUCCUCCAGACUAGGUUGGUCUCUAGGUAGAUCCUCCUCCAGACUAGGUUGGUCUCUAGGGUAGAUCCUCCUCCAGACUAGGUUAGUCUCUAGGGUAGAUCCUCCUCCAGACUAGGUUAGUCUCUAGGUAGAUACUCCUCCAGACUAGGUUGGUCUCUAGGUAGAUACUCCUCCA